This 467-nucleotide ribosomal RNA is filed under the name uncultured bacterium. Its description in RNAcentral is "partial 16S ribosomal RNA". It matches the Rfam family "Bacterial small subunit ribosomal RNA", at positions 28 to 506 of the family's 1533-position model. The record is from RNAcentral.
GACGAACGCUGGCGGCGUGCUUAACACAUGCAAGUCGAACGGACAGGUCAUGCUUUUGUUCCUUGCUCGAGUGGCGAACGGGUGAGUAUCACGUGUGUAACAUGCCCUUGACUUUCUGAUAACUUCAGGAAACUGGGGCGCAUAUCGGAUAGGAGCUCCUGCUGCAUGUUGUUGUAUGGAAAGUUUCGGCGGUUGUGGAUGGUCUCGCGGCUUAUCAGCUUGUUGGUGGGGUAGUGGCUUACCAAGCCUUUGACGGGUAGCCGGCCUGGGAGGGUGACCGGCCACAUGGCGCCUACGGUAGGGCGCAGAAGCGUACGGGCGGCAGCAGUGGGGAGUCUGGCACAAUGGGGGGAAGCGUGAGGCAGAAGCGCCGGGUGCGGGAAGCCGGCUUUUGGGUUGUAAACAGAUUUGGCAGGAGACGAAGCGUGAUUGACGGUAAUGGGGAAAGAAGCACCGGCUAACUACGU